This 700-nucleotide ribosomal RNA is filed under the name uncultured bacterium. RNAcentral's name for it is "bacterial SSU rRNA". It matches the Rfam family "Bacterial small subunit ribosomal RNA", at positions 94 to 828 of the family's 1533-position model. The record is from RNAcentral.
AGUGGCGGACGGGUGAGUAACGCGUAAGAAUCUAACUUCAGGACGGGGACAACAGUUGGAAACGACUGCUAACACCCGAUGUGCCGCAAGGUGAAACCUAAUUGGCCUGGAGAAGAGCUUGCGUCUGAUUAGCUAGUUGGUGGGGUAAAGGCCUACCAAGGCGACGAUCAGUAGCUGGUCUGAGAGGAUGAGCAGCCACACUGGGACUGAGACACGGCCCAGACUCCUACGGGAGGCAGCAGUGGGGAAUUUUCCGCAAUGGGCGAAAGCCUGACGGAGCAACGCCGCGUGAGGGAGGAAGGUCUUUGGAUUGUAAACCUCUUUUCUCAAGGAAGAAGUUCUGACGGUACUUGAGGAAUCAGCCUCGGCUAACUCCGUGCCAGCAGCCGCGGUAAUACGGGGGAGGCAAGCGUUAUCCGGAAUUAUUGGGCGUAAAGCGUCCGCAGGUGGUCAGCCAAGUCUGCCGUCAAAUCAGGUUGCUUAACGACCUAAAGGCGGUGGAAACUGGCAGACUAGAGAGCAGUAGGGGUAGCAGGAAUUCCCAGUGUAGCGGUGAAAUGCGUAGAGAUUGGGAAGAACAUCGGUGGCGAAAGCGUGCUACUGGGCUGUAUCUGACACUCAGGGACGAAAGCUAGGGGAGCGAAAGGGAUUAGAUACCCCUGUAGUCCUAGCCGUAAACGAUGGAUACUAGGCGUGGCUU